GAUGAACGCUGGCAGCAUGCUUAACACAUGCAAGUCCACUUGAACUUCGGUUUGGGUGGCGGACGGGUGAGUAACGCGUAAAGAACUUGCCUCACAGCUAGGGACAACAUUUGGAAACGAAUGCUAAUACCUGAUAUUAUGAUUAUAUGGCAUCGUAUAAUUAUGAAAGCUAUAUGCGCUGUGAGAGAGCUUUGCGUCCCAUUAGCUAGUUGGAGAGGUAACAGCUCACCAAGGCGAUGAUGGGUAGCCGGCCUGAGAGGGUGAUCGGCCACAAGGGGACUGAGACACGGCCCUUACUCCUACGGGAGGCAGCAGUGGGGAAUAUUGGACAAUGGACCGAGAGUCUGAUCCAGCAAUUCUGUGUGCACGAUGAAGUUUUUCGGAAUGUAAAGUGCUUUCAGUUGGGAAGAAAAAAAUGACGGUACCAACAGAAGAAGUGACGGCUAAAUACGUG
RNAcentral lists this ribosomal RNA (454 nucleotides) under uncultured bacterium. Its description in RNAcentral is "partial 16S ribosomal RNA". It matches the Rfam family "Bacterial small subunit ribosomal RNA", at positions 28 to 507 of the family's 1533-position model. The record is from RNAcentral.